RNAcentral lists this ribosomal RNA (406 nucleotides) under Leptobrachella ventripunctata (speckle-bellied metacarpal-tubercled toad). RNAcentral describes it as "partial 16S ribosomal RNA". It matches the Rfam family "Bacterial large subunit ribosomal RNA", at positions 1834 to 2459 of the family's 2925-position model. Lineage: Eukaryota; Metazoa; Chordata; Amphibia; Anura; Megophryidae. The record is from RNAcentral.
UUUGAAUAUUAUAAAAGGUACCGCCUGCCCAGUGACUAUGUGUUCAACGGCCGCGGUAUACUGACCGUGCAAAGGUAGCGUAAUCAUUUGUCUUUUAAUUGAAGACUAGUAUGAAUGGCAUCACGAGGACUAAUCUGUCUCCCUCCCCCAAUCAGUGAAACUGAUCUCCCCGUGCAGAAGCGGGGAUAAUAUCAUAAGACGAGAAGACCCUGUGGAGCUUCAAAUCAAUAAUCAACUGCUUCACCCACCCCAAAUAAAGGAUACACUCACGCAAACUUGAUUUAGAUUUUCAGCUGGGGCGUCUAUGGAGAAAAAAAAAUCCUCCAUGAAAAUUCAUGCUAAAAGCUACCGCCAUAGGCAUUAAUAUACUUAACUUUAAUUGACCCAAUUUUUGAUCAACGRACCA